RNAcentral lists this non-coding RNA (30 nucleotides) under Rattus norvegicus (Norway rat). Lineage: Eukaryota; Metazoa; Chordata; Mammalia; Rodentia; Muridae. The record is from RNAcentral.
UAUUUUCUAUUAUAUGAGAGACUACCACGA